This is a long non-coding RNA of Lynx canadensis (Canada lynx), 1224 nucleotides long. RefSeq lists it as uncharacterized. NCBI's taxonomy places the organism in Eukaryota, Metazoa, Chordata, Mammalia, Carnivora, Felidae. The transcript is spliced from 3 exons. The record is from RefSeq and is a predicted model, not a curated record.
UCUUUUCUUUCUCAUUUAUUUUUCCAGAUGAGAGUUAGAACGGUCUUGGUUCGUUCUCAGGAGGGACCAAGCCAUGGAGAUUCCGAUUGGAGCCACAUUCAACCACCAGAGAGCUGGUGGCAUUAAGUGGCCUGUCCUGGGCCAGGGGGCAGGUGUGCCCUCAUGUAUUCACCUGCUUAGUUCAAAUCAAGCCUCAGGGAGGAGCCUUCGGGGACUUCGGGGUUGGAGAAAGCGAGUUCCCAUGUUGCAGGCAAGAGACUGAGGCACCAAGCAGGCCCAACCCCAGAACACUGGACACCUGAGCAAACAGACGACGGGCCAAGGUGGAUGACAGGACAAGGACGUGCCCAGGUCGCCCCUGUGCCGGGUGGUGAGGACGUGCCCUGGGGGCGAGAAUGCUGUAGGACAGAGGACGCGCCCUGGGGGCGAGGAGGCAGAGGCCACCCGCCGGACAGCGGCGAGCGCUGCGACUCCCCGACACAUCUGAUUUUGGCCGCUGAGACCCGCCUCAGACCGCUGACCCCCAGCACCGCGAGUCGUCGGGUUUGUGCAGCUAGAAUCGCGGUCAUCUGUUAGAGCAGCAAACGGGAACCGAAUCCAUCAAGCUCUCACGGGUCACGUGCACACACGCUCGGCCGCGCCGUCUUCCAGUCCCCGCCCUGGCAGGUUGUCUCUCCUACCAUUGGCCAGAUCUGGGUCACAUGGUCACGCCUAAACCAAUGGCUAGCAAGAGGAGGGCGGGCCCUACCUUUGGUUACAAAUCAUACUGCCGGCUCCCUGCCCAAGAUCUGGUCACUUUGCGGGGACGGGGGUGCGGUGGGGGUGCGGUGGGGGCGCUUGGGGGUGGCGUGGAAGAGUUGCGGCGGGGAUUGCAUGGAUUGAGCAGGAAGGGCCUGGAACCCAGGCUGAGAAGGCUGGACUUCGUCCAGGGGCCAUGGGGAGCCAUGGUGGCGUUUGAGAGGGGAGGGCACAUCCGAUGAAGGCGUCAUGAAGCCCAGCUCUGACCAGAGUUCUCCCGUAGCAUCCGCCAUGCCCGAGUCUUCAGGUGCUGCCUUGGUUAUCAACAUCACAUACCCUAUCGGAGAACCCACAAGGCCUUGAAGUUUUCAGGUCCUAGUGCAAGGGCUGUGGACAUUGAGUGUGGAGUCCAUCACAAGCCUUCUUCCGGCUUGAGGAAGCCAAAGGGGACCCUCUCACUGUGGCACCAAACCCAGUCUGUAGCAC